CCAGAUUUGAAAAUAUCGUGCAAUGCCGUUAAUAUAAAGGGCAAAAACUGUCCUACUUCCUGGCACCCAUCAACUUCAGAAAAAUAUGCGCCAACAAACCAAUUGGCGUCAAAGUCUUUAGAGUAAUCGGAAUUUGGUAUCAAAUUCCCCAUAAGUGAAAACUGCUAAUUUCUAUAUUUAGAUCGCCUCGCUCCUUGACCACCUAUAUCACUAAUGUCUAGCUUACCUAGA
Molecule: long non-coding RNA, 231 nt
Filed under: Mytilus galloprovincialis (Mediterranean mussel)
Lineage: Eukaryota; Metazoa; Mollusca; Bivalvia; Mytilida; Mytilidae
Source: RNAcentral